Zootermopsis nevadensis is the source of this 2349-nucleotide long non-coding RNA. RefSeq lists it as uncharacterized. Lineage: Eukaryota; Metazoa; Arthropoda; Insecta; Blattodea; Termopsidae. The record is from RefSeq and is a predicted model, not a curated record.
UGUAGUGUAGUGAGAUCGACUUUCCUGUGUUACAUACCGUGCUGAUAUUUUAUUUGGAGUGUUCUGUACGCUGCCUCCUGCCACCCGUUCUGGUAAGUAACUCACUCCGAGGUUCCAAUUCACAAAACGCAGUGGCAGAAAACGCUGGAACCAAGUCUAACACAGAGGACGCCAGACGUUUUCGAAAAUAUCCGCUAGGCCUACUGUAUCCACUUCGUUUAACAUGAUACACGGCCAUUUUAAUGGAGGUAGUCAGUGAUAUAAUACAAGUAUUUUAUCAACACGGAUUACGGACAAGCAAAUCACAGAAUGGAUAAAUCUGUAUUUGUGAUAAUAAAACCGCUCUCUUUUCUUACGUAAGAGACCAGUAUGCCGUCUUCGUUGACAGUAAUUACACAUAAUGGGGAAACAUUACUGAUCCCUUUGCACAGGACACAAAUACGAAAACCACGCUUAGACGAAACAAACGGGCUGAGGGAAGGAAAGGACGGGAGCCCAUCGGUGCGGUGGGAUUAAGAGCAGGGGCGUAGCCCCUGAUAAUUACAGUAGGCUAUUCUACGGAGUACCCCGACGAGAUUUGUAUAGGUGUGUGUGUGUAGCUGUGCCUAGGUCCCGAUUCAAAGAAAGAUCGAAUAUUCGCAUGAUUUGCUCACUGGCUUAGCUGGGCAAACCAGAUUGUGGUUUUUCUCUGAAUUUCCAAACUGUAUUUUCCUUUUAUCCGAAAAUAGGUCACGUCCGUUUGCUUUCAACGCAUCACCAACAACAACAACAAUAAUAAUCAUAAUCAUAAACUCCAGUUCACUUACUAUAUUAAAUUGCUUGCCAACAGCAAAGAGGCUAUGACAGGUAAAUAACAGCAAGUAUAUAGAUGAACUAUACACUGUAGAUUGAACACAUUAAAAGAAAAUUAAACUAAAAUAAAUAAUAAAUCCAAACAAUUUUCCAUACAAAAGAAGUGUCUUCAGAGGAGACAUUGCAUACCAAACUGAAGGACUGUGUGCAAGUGAAAUGCUUACGCUGAAAAUAUGCGAUUUUCUUAUUUACCUUGUACACACACGAAUACCGAGUGUUCAAGAUUAAAUGGCAAAUUUGUUUGCUUGUUAAAGCAUUCAUAGAAAAUAUAGCAUCGAUAUGUCGUCUUAAAUGAAAUGUUGUAAAAUGUCAGUAUUUCAGAAUUAGAUUAUAAUCAAGUAAAAUAUCAAACUGAAAAAUAUUAUAGUGACACAAAUUAGCAAAUAUUCUUGCCACAUUUUCAGUUCUAUUGGAGUUAGCCAGUUAACGACAAUGGCGUACUCAAGCUUUGACUUAACUGAAUCGUUACACAGAAUUUUUCAUUGAAAACGCAACCCUAACCAUAACAGUAUUCGUAAGCUUGGAUGACUUAAAUAUGAGAAGAAAACGAGAUGUCUUUCAGUGUUACUUAAACUUUGAGGAGCGUCUCACCGUCAACACCAUUUGACGCUGCUUGUUUUUCCUGUCGCACUCUCGCGGCCUCAAGUACACUAAAGAAGAAUGCAGCUUGAAGUGAAUCCACGUGGACCCAGUUAAAUUGUGCGUUGUUUUGCAUUCAGUAGAUAAGCUUUCUGUCUGUGUUCUGAAGAACGAUAGAAUAAGUGCAGAGUAGUGCUGGUUAGGUAAAGGUAUCUGUAUGUAAACAUUUUUAUUUAUAUUUGCUAAAGUCUUUCGACAAGGCCAGUCGUCGAUACGUUAUAAGUUUACCGAGUAUUUUAAGAAAGCUAAUUCUACAAAUUGGGAUUGUCUCCGGAUUACUGAGUGCCUCAGCUAUGGACGUCAAGGAGGAAGAAUUUCUACGCCGUGAACGUAGGCAACUAAUAUGCCUCAACAGUUCGGUGGACCACUCGAAUGAAGGUCUCGGACCAUCUGCAGACCACAUUUUGGCGGCCUCUGUUGUACAGCAUAAUUAAUAGCUUUGUAUCAGAAGUUCAACAGUACAGGUAUAAUUACCGUGCUUGUGUUCCGAAGUAUAACAUGGCCAAACUUUGCGAAAAGUGUUGAGCGACCUAAGACUUCUUGCACACACGACCUACAGUAGUCUUCAGCGUUAGGAAGAAUAUUGUGACUGACCUUAAUUAGAAAAUAAAUGUUAUCAGGACAUCCAGGGAAAUGUUACACAGCAAAAAAUUGUGUUAAACCGGAAGUAACACAGGAAAACAAAACAAAUCCUGUUUGAGAUUUUUUGGGGUGUUGUCUUCUGGGUUAUUACACAGUACAGAUGGUUAUCAAUGUUUCAGUGACUGUUGUUUUCUCUUGAAUUUUUGUAACCACCCACAGAAUUACACAGUGUCAUAACCGAGAAGACCACAAUAAAUAAAUGGUUAAUUAAUUCUG